RNAcentral lists this ribosomal RNA (311 nucleotides) under uncultured bacterium. Its description in RNAcentral is "bacterial SSU rRNA". It matches the Rfam family "Bacterial small subunit ribosomal RNA", at positions 30 to 342 of the family's 1533-position model. The record is from RNAcentral.
AUUAAACGCUGGCGGCAUGCCUUACACAUGCAAGUCGAACGGCAGCACGGGGCAACCUGGUGGCGAGUGGCGAACGGGUGAGUAAAGCAUCGGAACGUGCCCUGGAGUGGGGGAUAACGUAGCGAAAGUUACGCUAAUACCGCAUAUUCUGUGAGCAGGAAAGCAGGGGAUCGCAAGACCUUGCGCUCUGGGAGCGGCCGAUGUCGGAUUAGCUAGUUGGUGGGGUAAAGGCCUACCAAGGCGACGAUCCGUAGCGGGUCGUGAGAGGAUGAUCCGCCACACUGGGACUGAGACACGGCCCAGACUCCUAC